RNAcentral lists this transfer RNA (83 nucleotides) under Mucispirillum schaedleri. RNAcentral's name for it is "tRNA-Leu". It matches the Rfam family "tRNA". Rfam says of the family: Transfer RNA (tRNA) molecules are approximately 80 nucleotides in length. Their secondary structure includes four short double-helical elements and three loops (D, anti-codon, and T loops). Further hydrogen bonds mediate the characteristic L-shaped molecular structure. tRNAs have two regions of fundamental functional importance: the anti-codon, which is responsible for specific mRNA codon recognition, and the 3' end, to which the tRNAs corresponding amino acid is attached (by aminoacyl-tRNA synthetases). tRNAs cope with the degeneracy of the genetic code in two manners: having more than one tRNA (with a specific anti-codon) for a particular amino acid; and 'wobble' base-pairing, i.e. permitting non-standard base-pairing at the 3rd anti-codon position. The record is from RNAcentral. RNAcentral also lists the same sequence under 2 other names. Lineage: Bacteria; Pseudomonadati; Deferribacterota; Deferribacteres; Deferribacterales; Mucispirillaceae.
GCCGAAGUGGUGGAAUUGGUAGACACGCCAUCUUGAGGGGGUGGUGGGGCUUCCUCGUGCGGGUUCAAGUCCCGCCUUCGGCA